GUCUGUGACUGACUGUCUGCUAGGAUCUGAUUGUCAUUGUCAAUACUGGUCAAUGUGUUGCCGUCACGUUUUGACAGUUUGGGCCGAAUUUUUGACGUUUUGACACUCACUCACUCAGGCCCGGGCCUGCUCAUCGAACGUCAUCGAUCAACUGGGGUCCUAAUCCAACCAAUCAACAAAGCAGCAUGAAAGUUGGUCAACCCAUUGUUCAAGUUCUACGAAGACAGAGCCUUAAGCCUACACAUUUGCCCCAGCAGCUGUUGAUCUUACUCCCAACAAAAGAAGGUGGUGUUUCAAAAGAAAUCAAACAGGUGGGAACUGGCAAGGAGCAGCUCAGUCCAGCUAGUCCACACACGUGACGCAUGAAGCUUGAUUCCAGUCAGGACAGAGGGGAGAAAUUCAAAUUCAAGCAAAGGUAGUGUAAAAAAGACAUGCAAGACCCUACUGGAGUAAAUACCAUUGAAGUGUGCAGUCUUGUCUUGUUAAUCCAAUUAUGCUUACGGUGAAAAUGGAAGUCCACCUAAAAAUUCCUCUUAAAUGCCACAUUGCUGAUGUUUGAGGUUGGAAGAUAGAAGAUCUCCCUAAAGCAAGUGAUGGAGGGAUUAUAAAUCAAACCUUAAAGUUAUUCAAAUCCUAUAAUGAAAAGGUGCUUGUUGCUGAAGUUUCACUGGUCGGUCGACACGCGGAGACACGGUAUUUGAUCAACCUGAGUUUAGCUUCUACCUUGGAGAAGAUUUAGAACAUUCAUUCAUUCAACGAACAUUCCCGACGGUGAUGAAUAGGCUCUGUUGAAAUUCAAGAAGCAAGAUAGGAGCUUGCUUAAGUUGACACCUGCAUACGGUUUCGGCUCUGCCGGUAACGAGAAACAAGGUGUUUUACCCAACGUCAACCCCGAAUACGAGGUUGAACUCAAGAGCUUUGAAAAGGCCAAAGAGAGCUGGAGGAUGGACGCCGAAGAAAAAGCUGGAGAAGGCUCUAAACUCUGUAAGGAAAAGAAAUCAAUCAUUUUAAAACUGCCAAAUACGCUCUGGCUAACAAACAGUAGGCCUACUUCCAAGAUUGUCACCCUCCUCGAGUUUGAAAAAACUCUUAAAGACGAGAAAGCUAAGGAGCAAGAACAGCUCAUGCUGGCAGCAUGCCUCAAUCAGGUCAUGUGCUGUUUAAAGUUAAACGAUUUCUGUGCAACUCGUGAUCAUUGCCACAAGGCGCUUGAGAUGGACCGCCCGAAAAAUGAAAAGGGAUUAUUCCGCAUCAUGGGCCAAGCACUUUAGGGCAUUCACGUGCCGGAUGAAGCCAAGAAACAUUUCGAGGCGAUUCUCCAAUUUGAUUCGAACAACAAGGCGGCCGCCAAUCAAGUGGUGAUCUGCAACGCCAAGAUUCGCGAGCAACGCGAAAAGGACAAGAAAUUGUACUCUAGCAUUUUCAACAAGGUGGUCGAAAAACGAUCGACAGAAAGCCUUGCGGAACAAGGCGAUGGAAAUGCCGGAACCGACGCAGUGGGACAAUGAAGACUCGGAGAACACGACCGCCGUUGAAUUGCAAGAUCCUUUGGACUCUGUGCCAUGUAUAGAGUCGGAUGAAAACUAAUCUUGAUUAUCGUCAUUGUGAUUCCCGACCCAUUUUUUUGAAAUUUAAUUACCCAGAAUUGAUUGUGUUUUUUUGCAUGCCUGUUCUCUCUGUUGUUAUAACACAACAACUUCUAAACCAAAACAGUACUAAGGACAUAUUCAAUUGAUUGUGUAAUUAUCGACUGCCCUCAAUCGCAAAACACAUCUCAUCUUUAUCAAAUAAAAGUGGUGAAUUUGA
Molecule: long non-coding RNA, 1806 nt
Filed under: Daphnia pulicaria
Lineage: Eukaryota; Metazoa; Arthropoda; Branchiopoda; Diplostraca; Daphniidae
Description: uncharacterized LOC124340528, transcript variant X1
Source: RNAcentral